RNAcentral lists this ribosomal RNA (627 nucleotides) under uncultured bacterium. Its description in RNAcentral is "bacterial SSU rRNA". The stretch from base 1 to 528 matches the Rfam family "Bacterial small subunit ribosomal RNA", at positions 338 to 873 of the family's 1533-position model. The record is from RNAcentral.
CCUACGGGAGGCAGCAGUGAGGAAUAUUGGACAAUGGGCGCAAGCCUGAUCCAGCCAUGCCGCGUGCAGGAAGAAGCAUCUAUGGUGUGUAAACUGCUUUUGUACAGGAAGAAACACUCCCUCGUGAGGGAGCUUGACGGUACUGUAAGAAUAAGGACCGGCUAACUCCGUGCCAGCAGCCGCGGUAAUACGGAGGGUCCGAGCGUUAUCCGGAAUCAUUGGGUUUAAAGGGUCCGUAGGCGGUUUAAUAAGUCAGUGGUGAAAUCUGGUCGCUCAACGAUCAAACGGCCAUUGAUACUGUUAGACUUGAAUUAUAAGGAAGUAACUAGAAUAUGUAGUGUAGCGGUGAAAUGCUUAGAUAUUACAUGGAAUACCAAUUGCGAAGGCAGGUUACUACUUAUGGAUUGACGCUGAUGGACGAAAGCGUGGGGAGCGAACAGGAUUAGAUACCCUGGUAGUCCACGCCGUAAACGAUGGAUACUAGNUGUGUGCAUNUGAGUGNGUAGAGAAGUAGAUAAGUAUACCACCGUACGGGAGGUACGGUUCGUCGAAGAAGUAGAAACGUUAAAAGGUAAAGUUAAGUACGGACGUAGAGACGUAGACGACGGACGACGACGAGGGAGGAGG